Molecule: ribosomal RNA, 253 nt
Filed under: uncultured bacterium
Lineage: Bacteria
Description: partial 16S ribosomal RNA
Rfam family: Bacterial small subunit ribosomal RNA
Source: RNAcentral
UACGUAGGGUGCGAGCGUUAAUCGGAGUUACUGGGCGUAAAGCGUGCGCAGGCGGUUGUGCAAGACCGAUGUGAAAUCCCCGGGCUUAACCUGGGAAUGGCAUUGGUGACUGUACGGCUAGAGUGUGUCAGAGGGGGGUAGAAUUCCACGUGUAGCAGUGAAAUGCGUAGAGAUGUGGAGGAAUACCGAUGGCGAAGGCGGCCUGCUGGGCAGUUACUGACACUGAUGCGCGACAGCGUGGGGAGCAAACAGG